CUAAGGUGACUGCCGGCGUAAAAGUACGGAGGAAGGUGGGGAGUGACGUCAAAUCAUCAUGCCCUUAUGACCUGGGCUACACACGUGCUACAAUGGGCGGUACAAAGGGUCGCGAACCCGCGAGGGGGAGCCAAUCCCAAAAAGCCGCUCUCAGUUCGGAUUGCAGGCUGCAACUCGCCUGCAUGAAGCCGGAAUCGCUAGUAAUCGCGGAUCAGCAUGCCGCGGUGAAUACGUUCCCGGGCCUU
RNAcentral lists this ribosomal RNA (245 nucleotides) under uncultured Anoxybacillus sp. Its description in RNAcentral is "partial 16S ribosomal RNA". It matches the Rfam family "Bacterial small subunit ribosomal RNA", at positions 1140 to 1382 of the family's 1533-position model. Lineage: Bacteria; Bacillati; Bacillota; Bacilli; Caryophanales; Anoxybacillaceae. The record is from RNAcentral.